UACCUUUGACACCGUUAUGGUGAAUGUAUCACCAAUCAAGUGAUGCGUUUGAAAAGGGAAUCCGGUUAAAAUCCGGAACUGCCCCCACAGCUGUAACCUCAUUUAGAGAGCAACUUUCUUAGGUCACUGAGCGAAUGGAAAUGCCGGUUAAGACGUAUUUCCGAUGUUCUUGGGAAGACCGUUGCUUUGAAGAGGAAGUCAGAAGACCUGCCAUAAUGCGCUGCCCGCC
This 229-nucleotide non-coding RNA is filed under the name Porphyromonas macacae. Lineage: Bacteria; Pseudomonadati; Bacteroidota; Bacteroidia; Bacteroidales; Porphyromonadaceae. The record is from RNAcentral.